This 253-nucleotide ribosomal RNA is filed under the name uncultured bacterium. Its description in RNAcentral is "partial 16S ribosomal RNA". It matches the Rfam family "Bacterial small subunit ribosomal RNA", at positions 524 to 776 of the family's 1533-position model. The record is from RNAcentral.
UACGAAGGGGGCUAGCGUUGCUCGGAAUCACUGGGCGUAAAGCGCACGUAGGCGGCUUUUUAAGUCAGGGGUGAAAUCCUGGAGCUCAACUCCAGAACUGCCUUUGAUACUGAGAAGCUCGAGUCCGGAAGAGGUGAGUGGAACUGCGAGUGUAGAGGUGAAAUUCGUAGAUAUUCGCAAGAACACCAGUGGCGAAGGCGGCUCACUGGCCCGGUACUGACGCUGAGGUGCGAAAGCGUGGGGAGCAAGCAGG